GUGUCAGCAGCCGCGGUAAUACGUAGGUGGCAAGCGUUGUCCGGAAUUACUGGGUGUAAAGGGAGCGUAGGCGGGAAUCCAAGUUGGGUGUGAAAUGUCCGGGCUUAACCCGGGAGCUGCAUCCAAAACUGGAUUUCUUGAGUGAUGUAGAGGCAGGCGGAAUUCCUAGUGUAGCGGUGAAAUGCGUAGAUAUUAGGAGGAACACCAGUGGCGAAGGCGGCCUGCUGGGCAUUAACUGACGCUGAGGCUCGAAAGCGUGGGGAGCAAACAGGAUUAGAUACCCGCGUAGUCC
Molecule: ribosomal RNA, 292 nt
Filed under: uncultured bacterium
Lineage: Bacteria
Description: partial 16S ribosomal RNA
Rfam family: Bacterial small subunit ribosomal RNA
Source: RNAcentral